This 1153-nucleotide long non-coding RNA is filed under the name Chinchilla lanigera (long-tailed chinchilla). Its description in RNAcentral is "lncRNA (ENSCLAG00000023882.1)". The record is from RNAcentral. Lineage: Eukaryota; Metazoa; Chordata; Mammalia; Rodentia; Chinchillidae.
CCAUGGCAACGGACGCCGGGUUCGUGACUCCCACCGCCCCGGGAGCCGCUCGGCUGGAGGUGUCACUGCCCAGCAGGCAUGGCCCAGGCUCCGACAGGGAACCUGAAGGAGGCGUUCAGGACGCAGCUGUGCUGGAAGCUCGUCAAGAACCUCGCCGUUAUUGAACAAUACCAGAGCCACCCCAGAUAUACCAUUUCAGAUGAUCUAAAAGUUGGCUUUUUCACCACAGACCAUGCUACCCAAACAGAUACCAAUGAGAUUUUGCCAGUAAAAGAAUUAAGUUCAUCUACACAAAAGUUAAUUCAGGUUAUUACAGCCCUUCAGGUGGAUUUUAGGUUCCUUAAAGAACUGGUUCAGUUGAAGUUUGAGGACAGUCUUCAAGAAGAGUCUUCAAAAAUCGUCGUUGCUCUCCAGGACAGGAUCUUAGAGAUGGAAAAGCACUAUCAACAGAAUGAGGAGAAUAUGAGAAAAUGCUUUCAGCAGCAGUUAGCUGAUGCCAUCGCCGUCGUCAAAGGAAUGUACCAGCAAUAUUUUGAUGUAGAGGAAGAAAAAACUUCUUUGCAAGAUGCAGAAAAUGUCAAGUUGGGUGUUUUGUCAAGAAAACUGAAAGAGAAAGAAGAAAUUAUCAAUGAAUUAAGAGAGCAACUAGAACAAUGUGAAGGAUUUGAAAAACUUGACACUUUUGCCGAGGCCAGCUCUUCCAAAUUAAACUUAGAAAGGGAAAACUGGGAGCACAGAACGGAAAACGAGAGACUGCUCAAAGUCAUUUCGGAUCUUGAAGAAGAACUCAAACUCAGUGUAAAAGAAAAUUCAAUAUUAGAAGAUGAACUUAUAAGUCUGAAAGAGAUCUCAGAGAAGAAUCAGAAAACUAUUCAAAAGUUAACAGAUGCUAGAGACAGAUUAAGAUACGAGCUUGAUAGUGAAAAAGUAUUAGUUCAAGAUAUGCACCCUGUGUUUUGGGUUCCUUGUCAUAGAAAUUAAUGCAAAACAAUGCUCCUGGAUUACAAUAAAGCCUUCUAUGAAACCAACUCGGGGAUGCAGGCAACGGGGAAAAAUUAUAGCCAGCUAUUCACAAAAACCAUGCAUUAACAAAUAUGUCAUUUUGAACGUUUUGCUUUUAAGUACCUGGCAUACAAAAAUAAAUAAUCGCUGU